UGGCAUAAGCCAGCUUGACUGCGAGCGUGACGGCGCGAGCAGGUGCGAAAGCAGGUCAUAGUGAUCCGGUGGUUCUGAAUGGAAGGGCCAUCGCUCAACGGAUAAAAGGUACUCCGGGGAUAACAGGCUGAUACCGCCCAAGAGUUCAUAUCGACGGCGGUGUUUGGCACCUCGAUGUCGGCUCAUCACAUCCUGGGGCUGAAGUAGGUCCCAAGGGUAUGGCUGUUCGCCAUUUAAAGUGGUACGCGAGCUGGGUUUAGAACGUCGUGAGACAGUUCGGUCCCUAUCUGCCGUGGGCGCUGGAGAACUGAGGGGGGCUGCUCCUAGUACGAGAGGACCGGAGUGGACGCAUCACUGGUGUUCGGGUUGUCAUGCCAAUGGCACUGCCCGGUAGCUAAAUGCGGAAGAGAUAAGUGCUGAAAGCAUCUAAGCACGAAACUUGCC
RNAcentral lists this ribosomal RNA (444 nucleotides) under Escherichia coli. RNAcentral describes it as "partial 23S ribosomal RNA". It matches the Rfam family "Bacterial large subunit ribosomal RNA", at positions 2355 to 2798 of the family's 2925-position model. Lineage: Bacteria; Pseudomonadati; Pseudomonadota; Gammaproteobacteria; Enterobacterales; Enterobacteriaceae. The record is from RNAcentral.